RNAcentral lists this unclassified non-coding RNA (269 nucleotides) under air metagenome. RNAcentral describes it as "partial contains small subunit ribosomal RNA, internal transcribed spacer 1, and 5.8S ribosomal RNA". The stretch from base 1 to 46 matches the Rfam family "Eukaryotic small subunit ribosomal RNA", at positions 1786 to 1831 of the family's 1831-position model. The record is from RNAcentral.
AAGUCGUAACAAGGUUUCCGUAGGUGAACCUGCGGAAGGAUCAUUAUCGAGUUUUGAACGGGUUGUUGCUGGCCUCAUACGGGGCAUGUGCACGCCUGACUUCAUCCACUCUUCAACCUCUGUGCACUUAUUGUAGGCUAGUGUGAAAGGUCGCAUUCAUUGCGGCUGGAAGCCUGCCUACGUUUUACUACAAACGCUUCAGUUAUAGAAUGUUUAUCUGCGUAUAACGCAUUUAUAUACAACUUUCAGCAACGGAUCUCUUGGCUCUC